RNAcentral lists this ribosomal RNA (494 nucleotides) under uncultured bacterium. RNAcentral describes it as "partial 16S ribosomal RNA". It matches the Rfam family "Bacterial small subunit ribosomal RNA", at positions 28 to 507 of the family's 1533-position model. The record is from RNAcentral.
GACGGACGCUGGCGGCGUGCUUAACACAUGCAAGUCGAACGGAAAGGCCUGCUUUCCCUUGUGGAUUGCGGGUACUCGAGUGGCGAACGGGUGAGUAACACGUGAGUGAUCUGCCCCCAACUUGGGUAUAAGCCUGGGAAACUGGGUCUAAUUCCCGAUAGGACUGCAGGGUGGUGCCUGUGGUGGAAAACGAUUUUCUAGUGGUUGGGGAUGAGCUCGCGGCCUAUCAGCUUGUUGGUGGGGUAAUGGCCUACCAAAGCGGCGACGGGUAGCCGGCCUGAGAGGGUGGACGGCCACAUUGGGACUGAGAUACGGCCCAGACUCCUACGGGAGGCAGCAGUGGGGAAUAUUGCACAAUGGGCGGAAGCCUGAUGCAGCGACGCCGCGUGGGGGAUGACGGCCUUCGGGUUGUAAACUCCUUUCGACCGCGAGGAAGCCACCUGGUUGGAAGGGUGGUGACGGUAGUGGUAGAAGAAGCACCGGCUAACUACGUG